RNAcentral lists this ribosomal RNA (500 nucleotides) under uncultured bacterium. Its description in RNAcentral is "partial 16S ribosomal RNA". It matches the Rfam family "Bacterial small subunit ribosomal RNA", at positions 30 to 523 of the family's 1533-position model. The record is from RNAcentral.
AUUGAACGCUGGCGGAAUGCUUUACACAUGCAAGUCGAACGGCAGCACGGACUUCGGUCUGGUGGCGAGUGGCGAACGGGUGAGUAAUACAUCGGAACGUGCCCAGUCGUGGGGGAUAACGUAGCGAAAGCUACGCUAAUACCGCAUACGAUCUACGGAUGAAAGCGGGGGAUCGCAAGACCUCGCGCGAUUGGAGCGGCCGAUGGCAGAUUAGGUAGUUGGUAGGGUAAAGGCCUACCAAGCCGACGAUCUGUAGCUGGUCUGAGAGGAUGAUCAGCCACACUGGGACUGAGACACGGCCCAGACUCCUACGGGAGGCAGCAGUGGGGAAUUUUGGACAAUGGGCGCAAGCCUGAUUCAGCCAUUCCGCGUGCAGGAUGAAGGCCUUCGGGUUGUAAACUGCUUUUGUACAGAACGAAAAGGCUCUGGUUAAUACCUGGGGCUCAUGACGGUACUGUAAGAAUAAGCACCGACUAACUACGUGCCAGCCGCCGCCGUAA